This 330-nucleotide ribosomal RNA is filed under the name Triticum aestivum (bread wheat). Its description in RNAcentral is "partial small subunit ribosomal RNA". Lineage: Eukaryota; Viridiplantae; Streptophyta; Magnoliopsida; Poales; Poaceae. The record is from RNAcentral.
AUGUACUCGGGUCUAGAGGACACCUCUCGAACCCACCCGGAGGAGGUUGACGAGGAGAUGGUGGCUCAGUGGCUCAGGAGCAUUACCGGCAACAAGGAUAACCCCAGGGGGUCCAGGAGGAUUCUGCCAUUCGAUGUCAACAAUGCUCCUGAAGAGAUUUUCACCAAGAUGUACUCGAUGCCGAAUGGAGAGCAGUACCAAGAAGGAGUUGAGAGUGAUGGCGAGAGCGGUGAUUAUCAGUAUGUAGAUCACAGUGAAGAUGACAGUAAGGACUCGGGCAGCAGCGAAGAAGUCGAUUCACCUCCCCACUCGGAGCGUCGCUCCAAAUAG